GAUGAACGCUGGCGGCGUGCUUAACACAUGCAAGUCGAACGGAGUAUGUUAACCGAGACCUUCGGGUCUCACCUGAUAUACUUAGUGGCGGACGGGUGAGUAACGCGUGAGCAACCAACCUUAUGCAGAGGGAUAACAAUUAGAAAUGAUUGCUAAUACCUCAUAAGACCACGCUAUCGCAUGGUGAAGUGGGAAAAACUCCGGUGGCAUAAGACGGGCUCGCGUUCGAUUAGCUAGAUGGUGGGGUAACGGCCUACCAUGGCGACGAUCGAUAGCCGGACUGAGAGGUCGACCGGCCACACUGGGACUGAGACACGGCCCAG
Molecule: ribosomal RNA, 323 nt
Filed under: uncultured bacterium
Lineage: Bacteria
Description: bacterial SSU rRNA
Rfam family: Bacterial small subunit ribosomal RNA
Source: RNAcentral